This 66-nucleotide transfer RNA is filed under the name fish gut metagenome. It matches the Rfam family "tRNA", at positions 5 to 66 of the family's 71-position model. From Rfam's summary of the family: Transfer RNA (tRNA) molecules are approximately 80 nucleotides in length. Their secondary structure includes four short double-helical elements and three loops (D, anti-codon, and T loops). Further hydrogen bonds mediate the characteristic L-shaped molecular structure. tRNAs have two regions of fundamental functional importance: the anti-codon, which is responsible for specific mRNA codon recognition, and the 3' end, to which the tRNAs corresponding amino acid is attached (by aminoacyl-tRNA synthetases). tRNAs cope with the degeneracy of the genetic code in two manners: having more than one tRNA (with a specific anti-codon) for a particular amino acid; and 'wobble' base-pairing, i.e. permitting non-standard base-pairing at the 3rd anti-codon position. The record is from RNAcentral.
CUGUAGCUCAGUUUGGAUAGAGCGUUAGAUUGCGGUUCUAAAGGCCGGAGGUUCGAAUCCUCUCAG